RNAcentral lists this ribosomal RNA (192 nucleotides) under uncultured bacterium. Its description in RNAcentral is "partial 16S ribosomal RNA". It matches the Rfam family "Bacterial small subunit ribosomal RNA", at positions 333 to 538 of the family's 1533-position model. The record is from RNAcentral.
ACGCUCGACACGAGGCAGCAGUGGGGAAUAUUGCACAAUGGGGGAAACCCUGAUGCAGCGACGCCGCGUGAGCGAAGAAGUAUUUCGGUAUGUAAAGCUCUAUCAGCAGGGAAGAAACUGACGGUACCUGACUAAGAAGCACCGGCUAAAUACGUGCAGCAGCCGCGGUAAUCUGAGGCGGCGUGGCAAGGC